RNAcentral lists this long non-coding RNA (2280 nucleotides) under Heterocephalus glaber (naked mole-rat). RNAcentral describes it as "lncRNA (ENSHGLG00000043414.1)". The record is from RNAcentral. Lineage: Eukaryota; Metazoa; Chordata; Mammalia; Rodentia; Bathyergidae.
CAUUACUGUAGAAACAUGUAACAGUAAGAAAACCUUUUUUAUUUUCCUCACAAUAAUUAUGUAGAUUUUUGUUUCCUGUCUACAUUUAAAAGUCUGUGGUUUCUUAGGAAUAGGUAAAAUUUCUUUCUUUUGACAAAUGUGCCACAGAGUUUUUCAAACAGUAAUUUUGGGUGUUCAUUUUAUUUUUACUUAGGCAAGUAUGUAUUAUAUAUUCAUUUCUCUAGAACCAAAUAAGGUGGUUCAAAAAAUCCGGUCCCAGUUAAGAAAAUGUGAUGAACAGUAGGAGUUAUGAGUUGUUGGGGGAAAGAGAUGUCCUGCACAGACAUGCACGCUAGAGAGUCCAUCUGGAGAAACAUUCUUUAGGGUCAGCAUGACCAGGAAGAGCAUUGGAAUGUGAUCUUGUCUAUUAUGAGUCCUUACUUUGGACAUUUGUCUGUAUGUUUUAAUAUCUACAUAAUUUUCUGUACAAUGACUGCUCUUAAAGAAAGUGGAAGUAUAUUGGCAUACAGUCUUUAAGCUGUGAAUCAUAAGCAGUUAAAAUGUGCAAGUGGGCCGGGGAUUUAGGUCAGUGGUUUCGGUGCCCGCUGCACAAGUGCAAGGACCCAAGUUCGAUGCCUGGUACGAAAACAAAAGAAAAAUGUAUAACCUAAUGCAUUUAUGUUUUCAAACAAAAGGGCUUUCUGAGAGUAGAAGCCAAACAGUGAUAUCAUCUCUCAUCCUUUGCGUUUAUAUCUCCCUGCAUUGUGCACCCCACGUAAUAGAGCAAGAGGAAGAAAUGAGCCUCAGUGAUGUUUGGAGGGAACACAACUGUGUUUGCCAGUGACAUGAUGGUCUGUUUCAAAAUCCCAAAACAUCUGUAUGAACACUCGGAAUUAAAAAGCUGAGUUUAGUGGGUUUAGGUGAUGAAGUUAAUAAAUGAAAACAAUCAAUCAUAGUGUUAUAUAAUAAGAAUGAAAAAUUAGACUUUGAGUAAAUAAUUCUUUAGCAUUUUAUUGAUGUGAUCACAAAUUUAUGUGAUGCUCUGUGCUAAUCCAGUAUAUUUACACAGUGUAUGAUGGUCAGGUCAUGGGAGUGAGCAUUUCCAUUUCCUUGUGGAGGCUUUGAAAAGAGGAUGAUCUGAAGAUGCUAUGGAGAUUGCUAGAACGUAAGGAGGGUGACGGGGAGGGGCUAAUGGGGUUCAGGUAACAGCUGCACAAAUGUGUUCAGGAAGAGACAGCAAGCAACUGUGGGGUGAUGCCAGUUCACGGGUACCUGUCAUACUUUAUGAAUAUUUCAUGAAUAUGGUAUCAGCACUUGUGGCUUGGGGUUCUCCUGCUUGUGGCCAUUGCUGGUCUUCUCCAUUAGGUUUUCCUCUUAGAGGAGCAGGUUUGAAGUCUCCCUGUGGGAAGUACACUCCCCCCGUCCCCUGUCCCUUGUUCAGAGGAUGCAGGUCCACUGUCAGUCAGUGUGCAGUCCCUCUGUGGGAGGCGCUGUUGCCCGAGGACAUGGUGCCCCGACUGCAGUGCACACAGAUGAUGGAGUUAUGCUGCAAAGGGCCCUUGCUGUGCUGCUGUGCCUGGGAGGGGCCCAGCAUGAGUCUGGCCAAGAGCAGCACUCCGCAGAUCUUGGCCAGAGAGAGGCAGACACACGCCCAGUGAAGCACACACCUCAGUCAUCCUGUGCACACAUGGAAGCAACACACUCAUGCACAUGGAGGAUCCCAUGGUAUCUGACAAGACACAGAAGAUUACAGAGUGAGGGUGCAGGGUGGGGGUCAGGACCAGAGAAAUGGGUGCUGGGCCCUGCCUCACAUGUGGCUUUUCCCGUCUCCAUCACUCAGGGCCAGUCGCUGUGGUAGGCACGCCGUCAGCUGGGUGUUUCCGGUUCCUGGGUCCUGGAGCAGCUUAGGAGGGCUGCAAGCCUGUGUCCCCCCGAUGAGCUCCAGGCCUGUGGAGUGCGCAGGAUGGUUAAAGUUUGGAACGAGUCACAGUACAUUAGGGAAAUGAGGUGGAGGAGGCCUACUGUGAGAGCCCCGUGUCAGAAAGCAAAGUGUAUGAUGGUCAGGUCAUGGGAGUGAGCAUUUCCAUUUCCUUGUGGAGGCUUUGAAAAGAGGAUGAUCUGAAGAUGCUAUGGAGAUUGCUAGAAGGGCCCUUGCUGUGCUGCUGUGCCUGGGAGGGGCCCAACAUGAGUCUGGCCAAGAGCAGCACUCCGCAGAUGUUGGCCAGAGAGAGGCAGACACACGCCCAGUGAAGCACACACCUCAGUCAUCCUGUGCACACAUGGAAGCAACACACUCAUGCA